RNAcentral lists this ribosomal RNA (465 nucleotides) under Tannerella forsythia. RNAcentral's name for it is "bacterial SSU rRNA". It matches the Rfam family "Bacterial small subunit ribosomal RNA", at positions 9 to 469 of the family's 1533-position model. Lineage: Bacteria; Pseudomonadati; Bacteroidota; Bacteroidia; Bacteroidales; Tannerellaceae. The record is from RNAcentral.
GAGUUUGAUUAUGGCUCAGGAUGAACGCUAGCGAUAGGCUUAACACAUGCAAGUCGAGGGGCAGCGAGGGUAGCAAUACCUGUCGGCGACCGGCGCACGGGUGAGUAACGCGUAUGUAACCUGCCCGCAACAGGGGGAUAACCCGGCGAAAGUCGGACUAAUACCGCAUAAAACAGGGGUCCCGCAUGGGAAUAUUUGUUAGAGAUUUAUCGGUUGCGGAUGGGCAUGCGUACCAUUAGGUAGUUGGUGAGGUAACGGCUCACCAAGCCAUCGAUGGUUAGGGGUUCUGAGAGGAAGGUCCCCCACACUGGUACUGAGACACGGACCAGACUCCUACGGGAGGCAGCAGUGAGGAAUAUUGGUCAAUGGGCGAGAGCCUGAACCAGCCAAGUCGCGUGAAGGAUGACUGCCCUAUGGGUUGUAAACUUCUUUUACAAGGGAAUAAAAUGAGAUACGUGUAUUUUA